CUCUAAAUGAUCAAAAUGUUUUUCUAAACUUGUCUUCUGUCCCUGAUUGAGAGUUCAGAGUGUUUUAUCCAGUCAGAGCUCUUUUAGUGUAAUCAGCUUCAGCUGCUGCUUCUGGUGUCAGAUCUUGAGUGAUUUUGAUCAAGUAAAGGUCAGAAUAACUGCAGUAAUAUCUCCAGAUGAACUCUUACUGGACUGAAGCAGCUCAGCUUUACUUGAUUCUCCAUCAAUCAUGUUUUAGAGUCUCAAAUCUGAUCAUCAGGAUCUUUUGAGGAGCGUUUGUUUCCAGAAGCUUUACUUUCACUGUUCCUCAGCGGAGGAAUGAUCUUCACAAGCCUCCAGAACAUCUCACAUCUUCUGAGGAGCCUUUAUUUCUUCAUCUCUCAAUCACUGCAUUAUAUGUUUGGAUCAUUUACUGCAGAUAUAGACCGACCGCUGAUAUUUAGAUCAGUUUAUCUGCAGUUAGAAAGCAAUAAACAUCCAUGUGUGUUUCUGAAAGAAGUUAACAUGAAGAACGCAUGCACACAAACUCUCUCACUUUGACCAUUUAUUCACAUCGUUUUCAUACAAAAUGCAUAUCCACAGGCUGCUUGAGCGUCUGGCUCUGGGUCCUCGUCCUGGAAGAGAAACGGCAGUGAUUAUCAUCAUCUGAGACGGAGCAGGGGCUGAUGGGAUACGCCGUGUCCGCUCACCUGUCUCUCUCACAGCCUCACUCCAGUCUCUUGGGGUUGUUCACGGCCACAUAGUGAUAGAGCACCACCAGCAGGAAGAGAGAGACGCCCAGCAUGUUGGCGAAGAUGGCCAGCUGCACAUCAGUCACCAUCUCACUGAAAAACAGACAUUUCAAUAAAUGUGUGUCCCUGCAGCACAGAAGCAGUCAUCAGUAGCACAG
This is a long non-coding RNA of Cyprinus carpio carpio, 889 nucleotides long. The record is from Ensembl. Lineage: Eukaryota; Metazoa; Chordata; Actinopteri; Cypriniformes; Cyprinidae.